AGAGAGAGACAUGCGCGCAUAUCAAUAAGCGGAGGAAAAGAAACUAACAAGGAUUCCCUUAGUAACGGCGAGUGGAGCGGGAAGAGCUCAAAUUUGAAAUCUUCGAGGUUUUACCUUGACGAAUUGUAGUUUAAAGAAGUGUUUUCUGCUGAAGUUUUGGUAAAAGUUCUUUGGAAUAGGACAUCAUAGAGGGUGAGAAUCCCGUAUUUGACCAUUAUUUUCAGCUUUGUGAUACACUUUCAAAGAGUCGGAUUGUUUGGGAAUGCAGUCCAAAAUGGGUGGUAAAUUUCAUCUAAAGCUAAAUAUUGGCGAGAGACCGAUAGCGAACAAGUACCGUGAGGGAAAGAUGAAAGGAACUUUGAAAAGAGAGUUAAACAGUACGUGAAAUUGUCAAAAGGGAAGCGUUUGACACCAGUGUUGUUUUCUCGAAAAUCAAUUAAAAAUGGCUCGAUUUUGUAUUGCUUGAGACCUUAAAAGCUCACUGUACAUUUUUCGUGUCUUUUUUAAUGCACUUUUCGUUUAACAAGUCAACAUCAGUUUCUUUUGUUGUAAAAGGGUCAUUGGAAGGUGGCUUUCUUUUCGGAGAAAGUGUUUAUAGCCUUUGGCCUCUGCAAUCGAAGAGACUGAGGUCUGCAGCGUAGACUCUUCGGGGUUAGAUACAUUUGUGCUAAGUUAUAGCUUUUUAUAGACAACUUGUUGACUAUAAUUAGUCUUGUAGCUUACUCGCUUAUGCUAUUCUACCUACGCUUAGGAUGUUGAGUCGUAGAGCACGCAG
RNAcentral lists this ribosomal RNA (775 nucleotides) under uncultured Neocallimastigales. RNAcentral describes it as "partial large subunit ribosomal RNA". It matches the Rfam family "Eukaryotic large subunit ribosomal RNA", at positions 23 to 626 of the family's 3401-position model. The record is from RNAcentral. Lineage: Eukaryota; Fungi; Neocallimastigomycota; Neocallimastigomycetes; Neocallimastigales.